AAAAAAGAAACAGCAUUGAUAAUUUUAGGUGCUCAGAAAUUUGAAUUUUAAAAAUAUAGUGUCUCUUGGUACAAUAACAAUACAACUACUAGGGGGCACUUUUUUA
Molecule: small RNA, 106 nt
Filed under: Staphylococcus aureus
Lineage: Bacteria; Bacillati; Bacillota; Bacilli; Caryophanales; Staphylococcaceae
Description: HMPRNC0000_1053
Source: RNAcentral